CCUACGGGGGGCAGCAGUGAGGAAUAUUGGUCAAUGGGCUUACGCCUGAACCAGCCAAGUCGCGUGAGGGAAGACUGCCCUAUGGGUUGUAAACCUCUUUUGUCAGGGAGCAACGCCGGCUACGUGUAGCCGGACUGAGAGUACCUGAAGAAAAAGCAUCGGCUAACUCCGUGCCAGCAGCCGCGGUACUACGGAGGAUGCGAGCGUUAUCCGGAUUUAUUGGGUUUAAAGGGUGCGUAGGCGGAAUGCCAAGUCAGCGGUAAAAUCGCGGGGCUCAACCUCGCUCCGCCGUUGAAACUGGCGUGCUUGAGUGGGCGAGAAGUAUGCGGAAUGCGUGGUGUAGCGGUGAAAUGCAUAGAUAUCACGCAGAACUCCGAUUGCGAAGGCAGCAUACCGGCGCCCAACUGACGCUGAAGCACGAAAGCGUGGGUAUCGAACAGGAUUAGAUACCCCAGUAGUC
This 460-nucleotide ribosomal RNA is filed under the name uncultured bacterium. RNAcentral describes it as "partial 16S ribosomal RNA". It matches the Rfam family "Bacterial small subunit ribosomal RNA", at positions 338 to 795 of the family's 1533-position model. The record is from RNAcentral.